RNAcentral lists this long non-coding RNA (1179 nucleotides) under Ananas comosus (pineapple). RNAcentral's name for it is "long non-coding RNA (ACOM_LNC035773)". Lineage: Eukaryota; Viridiplantae; Streptophyta; Magnoliopsida; Poales; Bromeliaceae. The record is from RNAcentral.
AUGCAUUAUAGGGUAGAUGUGAUGAUAUAUAUGUGAAUGUUGCAUGAUGUUAGUACACGUGCUAUUUGAGAUGUUUGAGAGCCUAUUUAACCCUAUAUGCAUGCAUGAGAUGUAAUGUGAGCACCCAAUGAGAGGAAAGAACAAAGUGACAUAAUAAAACAUAGAUCGAGUGGCAUUCGACAAUGUAAAGUAAAGUGACACUAGAGUUAGUGUGUGUGGCAUCAAAGAGAAAUGUGACGCAAAGAACAAUGCUAAUGUUUAGAGACAAGUAAAGAAAACGAAAGUGGCAUAAAGAACGAGUAAAGUUAAAGAACGAUGAUUGCUAGAGUUAGCAAAAUAAAGUGAUGUAAUAACACUAGAGUUAGUGUAAAGACAAUGAUUGAACUAUAUAUCCUUAGAGUUAAGGAUCGAUCAUACUUUGCUAUGAGUUCCGUGCUCGAGGGCGGUCGCUCCCCUUCGGGCGAUGCGCUCCGGAGUUUUUGCAUCACGGGUUGGAGUAAACCCGAGGACGGUCUUAGCGGGAGGAAGCUGAGGGCCCGCGAUGAUGGACUUAAUGUGGGCAAGUUAAUGUGGCGAAACCCCCGGGUUAGCCGUGAGAUUAAAGAACAAAGAACAAAGAUUAAAGAAUAAAGAGUAAAGAACAAAGAACUUGCAUACUUGCAUGAUUUACGUUGAGCAUAUUUCUUGCUUUAUUGUUCAGGCAUAUUAGCAUCAUGAUUAUAGUUUGGUUACUAUUCUGCUUAUCCUUUCUAUUAUGCCUGAGUUAGCCCUAGUGGGAAAGUCGGUGAGAUUGGGGCCGAACCCACUGGGAACUUUGUUGUAGUUCUCACCCCACUAUUCCACAGAGCCAAGACCGAGCGAGCCGGCGAGUGACCGCGGUAAAGGUAUCGCACCAUAGUCAGAGGCCACAAGAGUUGGGUUAUUUCACAUUUUGUUAGUAGCUACCCUAUGGUCAUCUUUUGUACUUGAAGAUGUUUAAAGUAAAGAAAAAGAAUGUAAAGUUUUAUUUUGAGGCAAUGUGAUGUAAAAAGAAAUGAUGCAAGUGAUGUAAUGAAAUGUAAAGACUUUAUGGAUGUACAAGUUGAAUGAAAUGGAUACAUAUAUGUGAUCAAAAGAGAAUCAUAGUACUUGUGUAGAUGUUUAGUUUCCUUUCUUUCACUCAUGGCUAUUGCUUACCCU